GAUGAACGCUGGCGGCGUGCCUAAUACAUGCAAGUCGAGCGAACAGACGAGGAGCUUGCUCCUCUGACGUUAGCGGCGGACGGGUGAGUAACACGUGGAUAACCUACCUAUAAGACUGGGAUAACUUCGGGAAACCGGAGCUAAUACCGGAUAAUAUAUUGAACCGCAUGGUUCAAUAGUGAAAGACGGUUUUGCUGUCACUUAUAGAUGGAUCCGCGCCGCAUUAGCUAGUUGGUAAGGUAACGGCUUACCAAGGCAACGAUGCGUAGCCGGCCUGAGAGGGUGAUCGGCCACACUGGAACUGAGACACGGUCCAGACUCCUACGGGAGGCAGCAGUAGGGAAUCUUCCGCAAUGGGCGAAAGCCUGACGGAGCAACGCCGCGUGAGUGAUGAAGGUCUUCGGAUCGUAAAACUCUGUUAUUAGGGAAGAAAAAAUGUGUAAGUAACUAUGCACGUCUUGACGGUACCUAAUCAGAAAGCCACGGCUAACUACGUG
RNAcentral lists this ribosomal RNA (497 nucleotides) under uncultured bacterium. Its description in RNAcentral is "partial 16S ribosomal RNA". It matches the Rfam family "Bacterial small subunit ribosomal RNA", at positions 28 to 507 of the family's 1533-position model. The record is from RNAcentral.